RNAcentral lists this non-coding RNA (31 nucleotides) under Homo sapiens (human). Lineage: Eukaryota; Metazoa; Chordata; Mammalia; Primates; Hominidae. The record is from RNAcentral.
AGUCAGGACGAAAAACCUCAUUGUGUCAAGA